RNAcentral lists this ribosomal RNA (275 nucleotides) under uncultured bacterium. Its description in RNAcentral is "partial 16S ribosomal RNA". The record is from RNAcentral.
CUGCUGCCUUCCGUAGGAGUCUGGUCCGUGUCUCAGUACCAGUGUGGGGGACCUUCCUCUCAGAACCCCUACGCAUCGUCGGUUAGGUGGGCCGUUACCCCGCCUACUGCCUAAUGCGCCGCAUGCCCAUCCCUGUCCGGCCGAAGCCUUCCCUGCCUCCGGGAUGCCCCGGUGGCAUGUACGCGGGUUUAGCCCGCCUUUCGGCGGGUUGUCCCCCUGACAGGGGCAGGUUGCAUACGUGUUACUCACCCGUGCGCCGGUCGCCGGCGGAGAAA